CUGGGAUAAGAGUGUAAAUAAAUGCACUGCUCUUUGCAUUUUCCCUCAGCAAAAGAUGGUGAAGCAAGCCAGGAAAGAAUUCAAAGUGUCAGCUUAUGUGCUCUCAAGAGACCCGUGGCGAAUACACUGGAGAGCAUUGCAGGGGAGAAAUAAUUCCCUGGCACCCGCCCCCCGCUUUCAUCAGGUAGGAAGGAUGGACUGCACCCAAGUUCCUGAGCACAGAAGGCAAUGCCAAUAUUCCAAAUCUGCAUUUCACGUCUACCGGAACCACCCACUCCAUUUGCUCAGGGAAUGUCAUGNAAAGGUAGGACACAAAAUGGUUCUGGUAUAGUUCUUUUAAUUCCCAGUUAGGCUGGUAAAACAGGAAUUUCAGCUCUCCAGUAGUUCUGAAGUUGUACACAGACCAUUACUGAGGGUUUGUAAAAUUUGAAAGUAGGCAUGCAAAGGGAAAAUGUUCUUCUAAGGAUUACAUAUUACAUCAUUUGUUUCUUGCUAUAACUUUAUUUUAAAAAGUCUGAGGGACUUUCCUUUCACAAUGGAGCCCAGCUAAUUUGUAGUAUUUUAGUAUUUAAAAACAGUAAGUGGUUGUCAAAAACAGUACUAAAUGUGGGUGGGAUAGGAAAACAUUCUACACUGUACUGUACGUUAAAAAAANCCAAAAACUUUCAAAGCACAGACUGAGUCAGUGAACAACCGCAAUGUAUUACUGUACCUUUUCCUUCAUCAUUUUCAGAACUAUCGAGUUCACUGUUCACACUAGCAACUAUUUUGGGGCACUGCUUCAUCAGCUGGAGCAACUUGUUUUCAUAGAUGGCCCUUGUAGAAGCUGAAACAGGUAAAAGGCAAAAGGUUUCAGUAUUGGCUUGUCUUAUUUCUAGGUGUUCUAAAACUGAUAGGGAAACAUGAUUUUACUAAAGUUUUG
Molecule: long non-coding RNA, 922 nt
Filed under: Salvator merianae (Argentine black and white tegu)
Lineage: Eukaryota; Metazoa; Chordata; Lepidosauria; Squamata; Teiidae
Description: lncRNA (ENSSMRG00000008209.1)
Source: RNAcentral